UGAAAUCCCGGGGCUCAACUUCGGAACUGCCAUUGAUACUGCAAGUCUUGAAUACGGUUGAGGUAGGCGGAAUGUAGCAUGUAGCGGUGAAAUGCAUAGAUAUGCUACAGAACACCGAUCGCGAAGGCAGCUUACCAAGCCGAUAUUGACGCUCAGGCACGAAAGCGUGGGUAGCGAACAGGAUUAGAUACCCUGGUAGUCCACGCCGUAAACGAUGAUUACUCGUUGUUGGCAAUACACAGUCAGUGACUAAGCGAAAGCGAUAAGUAAUCCACCUGGGGAGUACGACCGCAAGGUUGAAACUCAAAGGAAUUGACGGGGGCCCGCACAAGCGGUGGAGCAUGUGGUUUAAUUCGAUGAUACGCGAGGAACCUUACCUGGGCUCAAAUGCACGAUGACUAUAUCUGAAAGGGUAUUUUCUUCGGACAUUGUGCAAGGUGCUGCAUGGUUGUCGUCAGCUCGUGCCGUGAGGUGUCGGGUUAAGUCCCAUAACGAGCGCAACCCCUAUCAUUAGUUGCCAUCAGGUAAAGCUGGGGACUCUAGUGAAACUGCCUACGCAAGUAGAGAGGAAGGUGGGGAUGACGUCAAAUCAGCACGGCCCUUACGUCCAGGGCUACACACGUGCUACAAUGG
RNAcentral lists this ribosomal RNA (633 nucleotides) under uncultured Bacteroidota bacterium. RNAcentral's name for it is "bacterial SSU rRNA". It matches the Rfam family "Bacterial small subunit ribosomal RNA", at positions 595 to 1233 of the family's 1533-position model. The record is from RNAcentral. Lineage: Bacteria; Pseudomonadati; Bacteroidota.